UUUAGGUCAGGGAGGACAGUUUGUGAAAGUGGAACUCAUUUAUUACAUUUACAUACAAUUAAAAAAUGUUAAAACGCUGUUUGGAGAACAGCAACAACAAGCGAAAAUGCCCCCAGCCAUUAUCACCUCGGCUGCUGUAGAUUCAUUCACCUCAGGAGAUCUACAAACACGUUUGUAUUUCAUUUUUAGAACUGUAUUGUUUGCUUUCUGAUUAUAUUUUAAUAGGAUCUGUGGAGAUGUUCCUAUUGAAACAUACAGGGGUUGUAGUUUAAUGUCGGCCCGUGGGGAAGAUAGGUCCUGUGGAGAUGUUCCUAUUGAAACAUACAGGGGUUGUAUUUUAAUGUCUGCCCGUGGGGAAGAUAGGUCCUGUGGAGAUGUUCCUAUUGAAACAUACAGUGGUUGUAUUUUAAUGUCGGCCCGUGGGGAAGAUGGGUCCUGUGGAGAUGUUCCUAUUGAAACAUACAGUGGUUGUAUUUUAAUGUUGGCCCGUGGGGAAGAUGGGUCCUGUGGAGAUGUUCCUAUUGAAACAUACAGUGGUUGUAUUUUAAUGUAGACCUAUAGGGAAGAUAGGUCCUGUGGAGAUGUUCAUAUUGAUACAGUGGUUGUAUUUUAAUGUAGACCUAUAGGGAAGAUACAGUAUAUCACAAAAGUGAGUACACCCCUCACAUUUUUGUAAAUAUUUGAGUAUAUAUUUUCAUGUGACAACACUGAAGAAAUGACACUUUGCUACAAUGUAAAGUAGUGAGUGUACAGCUUGUAUAACAGUGUACAUUUGCUGUCCCCUCAAAAUAACUCCACACACAGCCAUUAAUGUCUAAACCGCUGGCAACAAAAGUGAGUACACCCCUAAGUGAAAAUGUCCAAAUUGGGCCCAAAGUGUCAAUAUUUUGUGGCCACCAUAAUUUUCCAGCACUGCCUUAUGGAGUUCACCAGAGCUUCACAGGUUGCCACUGGAGUCCUCCUCCAUGACGACAUCACGGAGCUGGUGGAUGUUAGAGACCUUGCACUCCUCCACCUUCCGUUUGAGGAUGCCCCACAGAUGCUCAAUAGGGUUUAGGUCUGGAGACAUGCUUGGCCAGUCCAUCACCUUUACCCUCAGCUUCUUUAGCAAGGCAGUGGUCGUCUUGGAGAGGUGUGUUUGGGGUCGUUAUCAUGUUGAAAUACUGCCCUGCAGCCCAGUCUCUGAAGGGAGGGGAUCAUGCUCUGCUUCAGUAUUUCAUUUUCUAUGAAGGUAUCUUUACUUUCACUGAAGUAUGACAAUUGGGUACUUUUUCCACCACUCUACACACACACACACACACACACACACACGGCUAUAUUUGCUCACUCAUCACCUCUCUACACUGGGCCGUUUUGUGUUGAAACUGUUGGGCCUUUUUCCAUGGUGUAAACAACAUAUCCAAAUCUCGUUUCCUCCCCGUUGUCUAGUACGUUGGGUUACAAAUGUUUAUCAUGAAAAUAUGUACAGUACCACGAUGUAGCUAGCGGACUUAAUGGAUCAGGAAAUGUAAUGUGAAUGUUACCCAGAACAAUGAGGCCAUUAUAAAUGAUAUACAUUAUAUACAUUAAAAGGACAGACAUGUGCAGGUUUGAAAAGGGGCAAAACA
Long non-coding RNA from Oncorhynchus tshawytscha (Chinook salmon), 1607 nucleotides. The record is from Ensembl. NCBI's taxonomy places the organism in Eukaryota, Metazoa, Chordata, Actinopteri, Salmoniformes, Salmonidae.